RNAcentral lists this small RNA (171 nucleotides) under Numida meleagris (helmeted guineafowl). Its description in RNAcentral is "TUC338 (ENSNMEG00000018697.1)". Lineage: Eukaryota; Metazoa; Chordata; Aves; Galliformes; Numididae. The record is from RNAcentral.
UGGACAAGCCCAGAGAAUGAAGCUGUCUAUUCAUAGAACAGGUUCAGCAUAGCCAGCAACACUGAUUGCUUCCCAUGUUAACCUGCCAGCAUUUCUCAAACCUGACCUCAGGAGGCAGCUCCUGAGAAUGAGGAGUUCAGCCACCAGUCCAGAGUCCUUGUCUCUGCUGAG